Long non-coding RNA from Labrus mixtus (cuckoo wrasse), 812 nucleotides. RefSeq lists it as uncharacterized. NCBI's taxonomy places the organism in Eukaryota, Metazoa, Chordata, Actinopteri, Labriformes, Labridae. The transcript is spliced from 2 exons. The record is from RefSeq and is a predicted model, not a curated record.
AAUAUAUUCUUUCUGCUCACGUUUUUCUUUUGCAAUUUGCAGAUUAUUCUGUCAACCACAGUUGGAGAUAUGUCAUUCUCUCACUUUUGUCCAACUUCAUAAAAAGCUUGUUUAAUUUAAUCUGUAUCAUAUUCUGUCUCUCAGAAAUGUGACCAAUAGGACGGGCCGCUGUCAUUGCCUGCUGUGUGUAAAGUACAGUUCAUUAGAGCGUGACAGAAAGCUGUGGAUUCAUAACUGGACUUGUGUUUACAUUUAGAGGAUGCAUUGUGGUUUCAUGUAUCCCCGUCAAGUUCAGCAAUAAAGAGAGUAGAAGCCUGUUUCUUCUGAUUCAUUCUGUGCAGUGAGAGAGUUAAUGUGUCCCAGUGUUGUUACACAAUGACUCAGAUGUGUUAAGUGAGAUCAAUGUACAUUACAGUCUUUAGACAGUUUUGACUUUGUUUCUAAAUGUGCCCAGUCCAAAAAUGUCUCCUCAACAAUCAACUGCUUUACAUAGAUCAUUCAUGAAUCAUUUCUUUGGAUCUGAUCUUGUUACAAUCUGUGACAUUACAUCAGAACUUUGAUUUGAUAGAUUUGAUAGGACUUUAUUUCCCUCUGGCCCCGAAAAACAUCUACAAAAAAUCCUUCAUUCCCUCUGCAAUAACCAUUCUGAACAAAAUCAAAUAGACCCCCCCUUUUUAGAAACUGUUGUUUUUAAGUCCUCUUUUAAUGUACUGCACUUUCUGUUUUUAAUGUAUGUUGUGUUUAUUGUUCGAGCCUUGUCAAAGGAGAAUUUCUGUCUCUGUUGGGACAGACAAUAAAGUCUAUCUAUCUAU